CCCUUAGAUGUUCUGGGCCGCACGCGUGCUACACUGAGUGGAUCAGCGGGUCAGGUUGCGCGAAAGUGUUUCCUAAUCUUGAAAUCCGCUCGUGAUGGGGAUUGGCGGUUGCAAUUUUCCGUCAUGAACGAGGAAUACCUUGUAAGCGCGGGUCAUCAUCCCGCGCUGAAUACGUCCCUGCCCUUUGUACACACCGCCCGUCGCUCCUACCGAUUGAGUGGUCCGGUGAGGCUUUGGGAUCUGAGCAAAAAGAGCGUUUCGCUCGUUUGGCUCGGAAAACUCAGUCGAACCUUAUCAUUUAGAGGAAGGAGAAGUCGUAACA
RNAcentral lists this ribosomal RNA (322 nucleotides) under uncultured eukaryote. RNAcentral's name for it is "partial 18S ribosomal RNA". It matches the Rfam family "Eukaryotic small subunit ribosomal RNA", at positions 1470 to 1796 of the family's 1831-position model. The record is from RNAcentral.